RNAcentral lists this ribosomal RNA (789 nucleotides) under uncultured bacterium. RNAcentral describes it as "bacterial SSU rRNA". It matches the Rfam family "Bacterial small subunit ribosomal RNA", at positions 62 to 884 of the family's 1533-position model. The record is from RNAcentral.
UCGAACGAGGAAGUGGAGCAAUCCAUGAGUAAAGUGGCGACCGGGUGAGUAACACGUGACUAACCUACCUUUUAGUGGGGGAUAACCCCGGGAAACCGGGGCUAAUACCGCAUAACAUAGCAAGAUCAAAGCAGCAAUGCGCUGGAAGAGGGGGUCGCGGCUGAUUAGCUAGUUGGCGGGGUAACGGCCCACCAAGGCGAAGAUCGGUAUCCGGCCUGAGAGGGCGCACGGACACACUGGAACUGAAACACGGUCCAGACUCCUACGGGAGGCAGCAGUGGGGAAUUUUGCGCAAUGGGGGAAACCCUGACGCAGCAACGCCGCGUGGAGGAUGAAGCCCCUUGGGGCGUAAACUCCUUUCGACCAAAACGAUAAUGACGGUACUGGUGGAAGAAGCACCGGCUAACUCUGUGCCAGCAGCCGCGGUAAUACAGAGGGUGCGAGCGUUGUUCGGAAUUAUUGGGCGUAAAGGGCGCGUAGGCGGUGCCACAAGUCACUUGUGAAAUCUCCGGGCUUAACUCGGAGCCUGCAGGCGAAACUGUGGUGCUGGAGUAUGGGAGAGGUGCGUGGAAUUCCCGGUGUAGCAGUGAAAUGCGUAGAUAUCGGGAGGAACACCUGUGGCGAAAGCGGCGCACUGGACCAUAACUGACGCUGAGGCGCGAAAGCUAGGGGAGCAAACAGAUUAGAUACCCUGGUAGUCCUAGCCCUAAACGAUGAUUGCUUGGUGUAGCAGGUACCCAUCCUGCUGUGCCGCAGCUAACGCGAUAAGCAAUCCGCCUGGGGAGUACG